This 58-nucleotide non-coding RNA is filed under the name uncultured Synechococcus sp. RNAcentral's name for it is "Glutamine-II riboswitch (downstream peptide RNA)". It matches the Rfam family "Glutamine-II riboswitch aptamer". From Rfam's summary of the family: The major groove of the PK provides the binding site for L-glutamine The record is from RNAcentral. Lineage: Bacteria; Bacillati; Cyanobacteriota; Cyanophyceae; Synechococcales; Synechococcaceae.
CGUUCACCACGCAACACGCGUGGCGCAGUACGACUCAGGCCAUGGAACGGGGACCUGA